GAAGGGAGAAAGAAAGAAACAGAGAGCAAAACGAAACAGAGAAGGAAGGAAGGAAAGAAAGAAAGAAAAGAAAAGAAAAAGGGAAAUUUGGGGUUUUAAGGUUCAAAGUAAUUUGAUCAAGAAGUACGAAACUCGAGGUUAGACAAAGGGAAGAAUAAAGUUGAAGACUAAGUUGGUGAAUUUGGCUAUAAUUUGUACCGAGGUAAGUUUACGGUAAAUAAAUGCAAUAUUUCAAUAUUUAUUAUUAAUGCUGUUAAUUUCCAGCAAUUAUGAAUUUAUUUGAUGAUGAUCCAAGCAUGAAAUGAUAGAGAAUAAAAAUUUAAAAGUCCCGUUGAUACAUAAGGAUGGUACUGGAUACGAAUGUCAUGACAUUUGGGUAAAGAGAUCCCAUGUAAGACCAUGUCUGGGACAUGGCAUUGGCAUCCUUAAGAUCAUGAGAGGUCCCCUGUAAGACCAUGUCUGGGACAUGGCAUGGGCACCGAGACGAGAGGUCCCAUGUAAGACCAUGUCUGGGACAUGGCGUUGGCACCGAGAUGAGAGGUCCCCUAUAAGACCAUGUCUGGGACAUGGCAUGGGCACCAUCACGAGAACAUCCCAUGUAAGACCAUGUCUGGGACAUGGCUUUGGCAUGUUAUUAUCAGAAGAGACCCGAGUAUCCUUAUUAUUCCAAUGUAGUUCAACGGGCUUGUAAACGAAUCAUGUUCAUGAAAGUUCAGUUUAAAGCAUAAAUGGCAAGCUCAGGUAAGUUGUAAGACUUAAGAACUUAUUAUACUAUCAAUUGAUGUUCAACGAUGCAGCAAGGAUUGAGUAAGUUAUGCACACAAAUAUUCUAAGUAAACAAGUAAGAGAACUAGUAUGAGAUUAACUAAAGAGUAAACUAGAGAUAUAGACAUUGAGUUUAAUUAUUUAAGUUAAAUAUUGUUAUUUAUUUGCUAGUAAACUUACUAAGCUUUAUGCUUACUUCUUUUAUUUCUCUUUCUCUUAUAGUAUUGCAAAGCUACUUCAAGGAUCCUAAAGAAGUCGGAGAUCGUCCACACUAUCAACUACAACUGCUCGGUAUUUUAUAUCGAAACACGUUUAAGUUAUGGCAUGUAUAGGGAUUUAGUUAUUUUGUAUGUUUGUAGUGAUGAUUUUGCUAAUGAGUGAUGUGUAAGUAUUUGAUGAUGUAUGAUUAUUAAAAUGAUUAAGGAUGAAGGUGUUUGUUGUUAUGAAAGAUUAGGUGAUAAAUUAUGCAUGGAAAUCAUGAAAGGAUAAAAUUUUGCAAAGAAACAGAAUUCAGGCAGCACAGUGACGUGAAUUUGAAAAAUCACCCAAGAUAGUAUAAAAUGAAUUAGAGGGUGAAUGAUAUAUGGAAUUAAAGCUUGUUGAGUCUAUUUUCAUGGAAAAAAACGGUGUAGAAAAAAAGAAAUUUAUAUUUUAAGAUAUGUGAAUUUUAGUAAGAUAGGGUCAGAACUGUUUUUUUGGAGUCCCCUGUUCUGAGUUUAGAAAAUAAUUACAAAUUGUACAAAAAUGUUUAUGAGUUGAAAUUUACAUGCUUAGAUUCCUUGAUGAGUCUAUUUUCUAUAGAAACAAGUAAUAACUUCAUAUGAAAAUCCUAUAGUGAGAAAACUUAUUUUUAGUGACUAGAGGUCAGGGCAGUCUGGUGGUGACACAGGGGAGACUUUAACUAAUAAACUGUACUAAUUUGCUAAACCAAAAAUUCUAAAAAUUUUAUGGUGAGUAGAUAUAUGAGUCUAGUUUCAGGGAAAAUUUACGGGAUUAAAUUUCGAGUUCUGUAGCUCAAGUUAUAAUUAAUUUAGUAACUGCUGCGCGAUUAGACAGAUUUGCUGCGAAUAAUGAAAUAAAUUUUCAAACCUAGUUUUUAUGCUCCGAAUUGGUAAGAUAAGAUAAGUAAUUGUAACAGCCCAAUUUUCAGUAGUGUCAGAACAGUGAUUUGAGAUCACUAAAUUCGAUGAAGAAGUUAGAAAUAUUUUUGAAUUAGUGAAUUUUGUGAUUUAAAAGAAAUUAUUAGGUAAAUUGGGUCGAAAACGAGGUAUCGAGACCUCGAUAUUAUAAACUGAGCCGUAAAUAUUUUUAUAAAUAUUUACGGAGUGUCAAUAGGAUAAUAUUAAAGUUUCGUUAAGAAAUUUUAAUGUUUCGAUAGUUAAUUAUGAAAAAGGAUUAAAUUGCAAUAGGGAUAAAAGUUUAAUUAUAGAUUAAAGAAAAGUUAAAAGGACCAAAUAGGCAAUUAUGCCUUUUUCUAAAGUUGAGGCGGCAUAAUGAAAGAAAUAUCUGAGAUAUUCUAGUUAAUAUAUAUUAUAUAUAUGUAAGUAAUGAUUAUUAUUAAUAUUUUAUAUUAUAUUAUAUUAUAUAUAUAUAACAAAAGAAAGAAUAGAAAUGAGAAAGAAAGAAACAGAGAGCAAAACGAAACAGAGAAGGGAGAAAGAAGAAAAAGAAAGAGCGACGGUUCAGGGGUUUCAAAACUUCUAAAUUCAAUUGGUAAGUCAAUUUAGUCCAUUUUUCUUAUGGUUUUGAUAUUUUUGGAAUCCUAGAGCAAGAUACUACUUGAUUUAAGUGGAAAUUUUGGAAGUUAGUAGGUUAUUAGAUGUUGUUCAUGUUGAAUUAAUUGAUGAAUUAGAUGUUAAAAUGAUUGAAUUUUAAGUUAAAAGUUAGUAAAAGGUUGAUUUGUAAAAUAAAACAUAAGUUUUGAAUUGAUAGGAAUUAAAUUGAAAGAAUCCCGAAAUUAGGGAUUUAUGGGGAAAUUGAAGAAUUAAACUGAGUUUAUAGUAAGAAUUAAGAGAGAAUAGAGUUAGAAUGCAAAAAUAAAAUUAGUAUUGAUAAGGGAUUAAAUUAGAAUUUGAUGUUGCCAUAGAAGGGAAAAAUGUUCAGAAUGUUAUAAAACAUAAGAAUAAGAGAUGAAGUUUAAUUUCCGAGCCUUGGGGCAAAAAUAUAAUUAUGUAAAAGUUUAGGGGCAAAAUUGUAAUUUUGAAAAAGUUAGAGUCGAGGGCUAUUUUGAUGAAUGUGAUUAUUAAAUAAGUUAAAUUUACUAUUUUAGAUCAAGAAGUACGAAACUCGAGGUUAGACAAAGGGAAGAAUAAAGUUGAAGACUAAGUUGGUGAAUUUGGCUAUAAUUGGUACCGAGGUAAGUUUACGGUAAAUAAAUGCAAUAUUUCAAUAUUUAUUAUUAAUGCUGUUAAUUUCCAGCAAUUAUGAAUUUAUUUGAUGAUGAUCCAAGCAUGAAAUGAUAGAGAAUUAAAAUUUAAAAGUCCCGUUGAUACAUAAGGAUGGUACUGGAUACGAAUGUCAUGACAUUUGGGUAAAGAGAUCCCAUGUAAGACCAUGUCUAGGACAUGGCAUUGGCAUCCUUAAGAUCAUGAGAGGUCCCCUGUAAGACCAUUCUGGGACAUGGCAUGGGCACCGAGACGAGAGGUCCCAUGUAAGACUAUGUCUGGGACAUGGCGUUGGCACCGAGAUGAGAGGUCCCCUAUAAGACCAUGUCUGGGACAUGGCAUGGGCACGAUCACGAGAACAUCCCAUGUAAGACCAUGUCUGGGACAUGGCUUUGGCAUGUUAUUAUCAGAAGAGACCCGAGUAUCCUUAUUAUUCCAAUGUAGUUCAACGGGCUUGUAAACGAAUCAUGUUCAUGAAAGUUCAGUUUAAAGCAUAAAUGGCAAGCUCAGGUAAGUUGUAAGACUUAAGAACUUAUUAUACUAUCAAUUGAUGUUCAACGAUGCAGCAAGGAUUGAGUAAGUUAUGCACACAAAUAUUCUAAGUAAACAAGUAAGAGAACUAGUAUGAGAUUAACUAAAGAGUAAACUAGAGAUAUAGACAUUGAGUUUAAUUAUUUAAGUUAAAUAUUGUUAUUUAUUUGCUAGUAAACUUACUAAGCUUUAUGCUUACUUCUUUUAUUUCUCUUUCUCUUAUAGUAUUGCAAAGCUACUUCAAGGAUCCUAAAGAAGUCGGAGAUCGUCCACACUAUCAACUACAAAUGCUCGGUAUUUUAUAUCGAAACACGUUUAAGUUAUGGCAUGUAUAGGGAUUUAGUUAUUUUGUAUGUUUGUAGUGAUGAUUUUGCUAAUGAGUGAUGUGUAAGUAUUUGAUGAUGUAUGAUUAUUAAAAUGAUUAAGGAUGAAGGUGUUUGUUGUUAUGAAAGAUUAGGUGAUAAAUUAUGCAUGGAAAUCAUGAAAGGAUAAAAUUUUGCAAAGAAACAGAAUUCAGGCAGCACAGUGACGUGAAUUUAAAAAAUCACCCAAGAUAGUAUAAAAUGAAUUAGAGGGUGAAUGAUAUAUGGAAUUAAAUCUUGUUGAGUCUAUUUUCAUGGAAAAAUAACGGUGUAGAAAAAAGAAAUUUAUAUUUUAAGAUAUGUGAAUUUUAGUAAGAUAGGGUCAGAACUGUUUUUUUGGAGUCCCCUGUUCUGAGUUUAGAAAAUAAUUACAAAUUGUACAAAAAUGGUUAUGAGUUUAAAUUUACAUGCUUAGAUUCCUUAAUGAGUCUAUUUUCUAUAGAAACAAGUAAGAACUUCAUAUGAAAAUCCUAUAGUGAGAAAACUUAUUUUUAGUGACUAAAGGUCAGGGCAGUCUGGUGGUGACACAGGGGAUACUUUAACUAAUAAACUGUACUAAUUUGCUGAACCAAAAAUUCUAAAAAUUUUAUGGUGAGUAGAUAUAUGAGUCUAGUUUCAGGGAAAAUUUACGGGAUUAAAUUUCGAGUUCUGUAGCUCAAGUUAUAAUUAAUUUAGUAACUGCUGCGCGAUUAGACAGAUUUGCUGCGAAUAAUGAAAUAAAUUUUCAAACCUAGUUUUUAUGCUCUGAAUUGGUAAGAUAAGCUAAGUAAUGCCUCGUGCUCGACUCCGGAAACGGUCUCGGGUAAGGGGUGUUACAUUUUAUUGGUAUCAGAGCAGGUUUAGUCUGUUCUCGGAAAUACUCAGUAAGAAUAAGAGUCUACCUAUACAUGCCAUACUUAUAUAUUUGAUAGUGUGACGACUCCUGGCGAUUUUAAAAUGUUUUCUUUUAUAGUUAUGGAUCCUGAACGAGCUAGUACAGAUGAAGUAGAGAGUAAUGCACCUAUUCCCGCAGAAGGGACGGUGCCAUC
Molecule: long non-coding RNA, 5070 nt
Filed under: Gossypium barbadense (sea-island cotton)
Lineage: Eukaryota; Viridiplantae; Streptophyta; Magnoliopsida; Malvales; Malvaceae
Description: long non-coding RNA (GBAR_LNC003912)
Source: RNAcentral